AUUGAACGCUGGCGGCAGGCCUAACACAUGCAAGUCGAGCGGAUGAAGGGAGCUUGCUCCUGGAUUCAGCGGCGGACGGGUGAGUAAUGCCUAGGAAUCUGCCUGGUAGUGGGGGAUAACGUCCGGAAACGGGCGCUAAUACCGCAUACGUCCUGAGGGAGAAAGUGGGGGAUCUUCGGACCUCACGCUAUCAGAUGAGCCUAGGUCGGAUUAGCUAGUUGGUGGGGUAAAGGCCUACCAAGGCGACGAUCCGUAACUGGUCUGAGAGGAUGAUCAGUCACACUGGAACUGAGACACGGUCCAGACUCCUACGGGAGGAAGCAGUGGGGAAUAUUGGACAAAGGGCGAAAGCCUGAUCCAGCCAUGCCGCGUGUGUGAAGAAGGUCUUCGGAUUGUAAAGCACGUUAAGUUGGGAGGAAGGGCAGUAAGUUAAUACCUUGCUGUUUUGACGUUACCAACAGAAUAAGCACCGGCUAACUUCGUG
Molecule: ribosomal RNA, 484 nt
Filed under: uncultured bacterium
Lineage: Bacteria
Description: partial 16S ribosomal RNA
Rfam family: Bacterial small subunit ribosomal RNA
Source: RNAcentral